RNA transcript from Pan troglodytes (chimpanzee), 3031 nucleotides. It is a transcript of the gene named synaptosome associated protein 47, with no coding region annotated. The record is from RefSeq and is a predicted model, not a curated record. Lineage: Eukaryota; Metazoa; Chordata; Mammalia; Primates; Hominidae. The transcript is spliced from 7 exons.
AUGCGGGCUGCGCUGGGAGAGGGGCGGGGACAGAGGCGGUUCUGGGGGCGGGAGUGCGGCGGUGCGGGGGCGCCCAGGGAUGAUGGGACCCGGAGAGAACGGUGGGACCCGGAGAGAACGGUGGGACCCAGAGGGAGAGCUGGGGGGCCCUCGCAUGGUGGGAUCUAGUGGAGAUGGUAGGGUCCUGGAGGAGACGGUGGGGACCUGGAGAGGACGGUGGCACUUGGAGGGGAUGGAGACGGGAUCUGGAGGGGACGGUGGGACCUGGAGGGGAUGGGGACAGUGGGGACCUUGGAGGGGACGGUGGGAUCUGGAGGGGAUGGGGACAGUGGGGACCUGGAGAGGACGGUGGGAUCUGGAGGGAAUGGGUACAGUGGGGACUUGGAGAGGACGGUGGGGACCUGGAGAGGACGGUGGCACUUGGAGGAGAUGGGGACAUUGAGGACCUGGAGGGGACAGUGGGGAUUUGGAGGGGACGGUAGCACUUGGAAGGGAUGGGGACAGUGGGUUCCUGGAGGGAUCAGUGGCACGUGGAGGGGACAGUGGGGUCUAGAGAGGAUGGUGGGGACCUGGAGGAAAAUGGUGGGAGGGCUGGAGGGGGCAGGGUAACCUAGAUGGGCGAAUGGGGCCCACAGGGGACCUGGAGGGCAUGGCAAGGGGCCCCAGGGGAUGACGGGUGUCUGGAGAAGAUGGUGGGGAAUGAGGGAGGGUGUGAAAUGAAGGUGUGGUAGGAGUGUGGGUAGGGAUUUGGGGCUGUGUACACAUGAGCAGGGCUGAAGUGGGAGGACAUCGGAGUAGUGACAUGAGGAGUGUUUUGCCAAACUUGCAACUGGAGUUACCCCAAAAGUGGCGGCAAGGGAGUUCCCCACACUAUCCUCAGGUGGGACCAGUUGGGAUACCAAAGAAAGAAGUGCUAAAUGCAUGGGUCUUCCUCUGUCACUCAGGCUGGAAUGCAAUAGCGCUAUCUUGGCUCACUGCAACCUCUGCCUUCUGGGCUGAAGUGAUCCUCCACCUCAGCCUCCCAGAGUGCUGAGAUUACAGAGGCAGAAGAGGCCUGGACCUUGGCGCACACAGACCCAGGAACAGAUGAGCAGGGAUGUCUGCAUCCACACCUGGCCGUGCACCUACUACCUGGAGCCCAAGAGGCGAUGGGUUACUGGACAGCUGUCCUUAACAUCGCUGUCGCUCAGGUUCAUGACUGACAGCACUGGAGAGAUUCUGGUCAGCUUCCCCCUCUCCAGCAUAGUUGAGAUCAAGAAGGAGGCUUCACAUUUUAUCUUCAGCUCCAUCACCAUCCUGGAGAAGGGCCAUGCCAAGCACUGGUUCAGCUCCCUGCGGCCAAGUCGAAAUGUGGUCUUCAGCAUCAUCGAGCAUUUCUGGAGGGAGCUGCUGCUGUCUCAGCCUGGAGCCGUGGCAGACGCAUCUGUCCCAAGGACCCGGGGCGAGGAGCUGACGGGACUCAUGGCUGGAUCCCAGAAACGCCUGGAGGACACGGCGAGGGUCCUGCACCACCAGGGCCAGCAGCUGGACAGCGUCAUGAGAGGCCUGGACAAGAUGGAGUCAGACCUGGAGGUGGCGGACAGAUUGCUGACAGAACUGGAAUCUCCUGCUUGGUGGCCCUUUAGCUCCAAGCUUUGGAAGACACCACAGGAAACAAAGCCCAGGGAAGAUGUCUCCAUGACCAGUUGUGAACCCUUUGGGAAAGAAGGGAUACUCAUAAAAAUUCCUGCUGUUAUUUCCCACAGAACAGAGUCUCACGUUAAACCAGGGAGGCUCACCGUCCUUGUGUCUGGGUUGGAAAUACAUGACUCCAGUUCUUUGCUCAUGCACAGGUUUGAAAGAGAAGACGUGGAUGACAUCAAGGUCCACUCACCUUACGAAAUUAGCAUCCGCCAGCGGUUUAUUGGAAAGCCAGACAUGGCCUAUCGUUUGAUAUCUGCCAAGAUGCCAGAGGUUAUCCCCAUUUUAGAAGUGCAGUUCAGCAAGAAGAUGGAGCUGUUAGAAGAUGCAUUUGUGCUCAGAAGCGCAAGAACCUCUUCCCCCGCAGAGAAGAGCUGCUCAGUCUGGCAUGCAGCAUCUGGGCUGAUGGGCCGUACCCUGCACCGUGAGCCACCCGCAGGAGACCAGGAGGGCACAGCACUGCACCUGCAGACAAGCCUGCCAGCCCUUUCUGAGGCGGAUACCCAGGAACUAACCCAGGAUAAGAGACAUUCAGAAAGAACCGUACUGCCACUGUCGCCUUAGGAAACAGGAAGUCGUUCCUCAGCACCAUCCAGUAUCCAGGCAGUGCUCCAACCUUCUGAGCCCUUGCUGAAGGGCGUGUCCCACAGGAUCCUGAGGAGGAUGAAGGGGCUGGCCCUGGAGGCCGAGAGUGAGCUGGAGAGACAAGACGAAGCCCUGGAUGGCGUUGCAGCAGCUGUGGACAGGGCAACCUUGACCAUCGACAAGCACAACAGGCGGAUGAAGAGGCUGACCUAGGGGCAGAGCGUCCCUGCAUUCCUGUCUCGCCCUGCACAUCCCGCUGAGAUGGAGGGCUGGGCGGCAGUGCCAGGGCUGCAGAGGCCUGUGGCCCUCCGGAGUGGUCUUCCUCUGGAUGGGGCUGCUACUGUGGGGCUGCUUCUGCACCAGGGGCCUCCCCAGGUGUGCACCAUGCCUGCCCCCCACUUGGCUGUCCCUGCUGCUGGGCAGGACCCGGCCACAUGUUCUGCAGAUGCCGCAGAAGUGUGGACCAUGGCGGGACCCCAAGGACACUUGGCACAGGCCUGGAAGAGGCCGCCCUCGUCUUGUCUCGGCUCCCUUUCAUGGACAGACUGGCCUUCUUAGCUGUACUAUAAAUUUGUGAGUGAAGUUAGAGCCCAGCUCACUUAGCCAGCUCACUUUGAGGGCAUCCUAUAAACACCCAACUGUUCUUUUAUCGUCUCGGUUUUAGCCAAAAGUGAAAUUAGCAUGACUGCAUCUUUCAAACAAAAAUAUUGAUUUCUGCUUUUAUGGCCCCGUUUCCAUCCAGAAAUAAAGGGAAAUGCUGGCUUCA